AAGCGGGCAGAUAUUUUUCCUGCCACCGAAUACAUUAGCAUGGGAUAAUGGAAUAGGACCCUGACCUCCUAUUUUCAGUUGGUUUUGUUUACAGCGAGGUUAUAUCAGGGUAAUGAUUAAUAGGGAUAGUUGGGGGCAUUAAUAUUUAAUUGUCAGAGGUGAAAUUCUUGGAUUUAUGAAAGAUUAACUUCUGCGAAAGCGUUUGCCAAGGAUGUUUUCAUUAAUCAAGAACGAAAGUUAGGGGAUCGAAGACGAUCAGAUACCGUCGUAGUCUUAACCAUAAACGAUGCCGACCAGCGAUUAGGAGACGUUGAAUACAAAACACCGCUGUUAAUCCUUUCGGGGGUUAAUAGUUGGUGAAUGACUCCCCUAACAGCUUGUGAGAAAAA
This 389-nucleotide ribosomal RNA is filed under the name Acanthamoeba lenticulata. Its description in RNAcentral is "SSU rRNA". It matches the Rfam family "Eukaryotic small subunit ribosomal RNA", at positions 778 to 1099 of the family's 1831-position model. Lineage: Eukaryota; Discosea; Longamoebia; Acanthamoebidae. The record is from RNAcentral.